Oreochromis niloticus (Nile tilapia) is the source of this 479-nucleotide long non-coding RNA. RefSeq lists it as uncharacterized. The record is from RefSeq and is a predicted model, not a curated record. The transcript is spliced from 4 exons. Lineage: Eukaryota; Metazoa; Chordata; Actinopteri; Cichliformes; Cichlidae.
AAAAUGACUUUAUUAUAUAAUCUAUGAAAAUGAACUAAGGAUCCAUGAAGACAGUGGCAAGGAUAAAUUAUUCUCUGCUGCAUCUCACACAUCAGCAAGAACCAACACAGUGAAUCUGAUGAAAAGGAGAAACAAAAAGAGACACACCACAAACGAGUUUCCCUGACUAACAUGAGAGGAGCAGUAACUGCAUAUGGAGGAAGAAACAGGAGCAUCCACAGACAGCCUGAGAGUUUUUGGGGGCACCGUGAACAGCAGUCACCUCAGAGCAAGAGAGUCCUGGUGGCUGUCUGGGUUCUCUCCAGGAGCUCUGGCUUCAUCCCACAGUCCAGAGAAAUGAUCUGAGCUGGUGAGUCCAGUCAGUGUGUGUCAGAUAGUCGUCAACAAACUUGAGGAACCGUCCUUUAAACAGCAGCCAUUUGGACUCUAUGAACAAUCUGCUCCUCUCCCUUUACCAUGAUCUGGUUACGGGGUGCAAG